CGUCUAUAUACGUAUAGCAUAUCAAUAAGCGGAGGAAAAGAAACUAACAAGGAUUCCCUUAGUAACGGCGAGUGAAGCGGGAAGAGCUCAAAUUUGAAAUCUUCAAGGUUCUACCUUGACGAAUUGUAGUUUAUAGAAGUGUUUUCUGUUAGUAGAGUGGCAAAAGUUCUUUGGAAUAGGACAUCAUAGAGGGUGAGAAUCCCGUAUUUGGUCAUUCUUUCUAGCUUUGUGAUACACUUUCAACGAGUCGGAUUGUUUGGGAAUGCAGUCCAAAAUGGGUGGUAAAUUUCAUCUAAAGCUAAAUAUUGGCGAGAGACCGAUAGCGAACAAGUACCGUGAGGGAAAGAUGAAAAGAACUUUGAAAAGAGAGUUAAACAGUACGUGAAAUUGUCAAAAGGGAAGCGUUUGACACCAGUGUUGUUUAGUUGAAAAUCAAUUCAAUAGUUUUUGAUUCUAAGUAGUAUUGACUUCAUCAGCUUGCUGCUUUCUUCUCAGAAAUUAUUGAAUGCACUUUUCAGUUAACAAGUCAACAUCAAUUUCUUUUGUUGUAAAAGGGUAAAAGGAAGGUGGCUUGCGCUUCGGCUCAAGUGUUUAUAGCCUUUUAUCUCUGCAAUCGGAGAGAUUGAGGUCUGCAGCGUAGAUCCUUCGGGGUUAGAUACAUUGGUGCUAAGCUAUAGCCUUGUAUAGACAACUUGUUGACUAUGCUCAGUCAUGUAGCUUACUCGCUGAUGCUAUUUUACCUACGCUUAGGAUGUUGA
Molecule: ribosomal RNA, 758 nt
Filed under: uncultured Neocallimastigales
Lineage: Eukaryota; Fungi; Neocallimastigomycota; Neocallimastigomycetes; Neocallimastigales
Description: partial large subunit ribosomal RNA
Rfam family: Eukaryotic large subunit ribosomal RNA
Source: RNAcentral